GAUAUGGCUCAGGAUGAACGCUAGCUACAGGCUUAACACAUGCAAGUCGAGGGGCAGCAGAUCGAAAGCUUGCUUUGAUGCUGGCGACCGGCGCACGGGUGAGUAACGCGUAUCCAACCUUCCCUAUAGUAGAGGAUAGCCCGGCGAAAGUCGGAUUAAUACUCUAUGUUUUCCAAUGCAGACAUCUAAGUUGGAACAAAGGUUCACCGCUAUAGGAUGGGGAUGCGUCUGAUUAGGUUGUUGGCGGGGUAACGGCCCACCAAGCCUACGAUCAGUAGGGGUUCUGAGAGGAAGGUCCCCCACAUUGGAACUGAGACACGGUCCAAACUCCUACGGGAGGCAGCAGUGAGGAAUAUUGGUCAAUGGGCGAGAGCCUGAACCAGCCCAAGUAGCGUGCAGGAUGACGGCCCUAUGGGUUGUAAACUGCUUUUAUACGGGGAUAAAGUGAGGGACGUGUCCCUUUUUGUAGGUACCGUAUGAAUAAGGACCGACUAAUUCCGUGCCAGCCGCCGC
RNAcentral lists this ribosomal RNA (513 nucleotides) under uncultured bacterium. Its description in RNAcentral is "bacterial SSU rRNA". It matches the Rfam family "Bacterial small subunit ribosomal RNA", at positions 15 to 518 of the family's 1533-position model. The record is from RNAcentral.